GGGGAGGGAGCGUGCUCCUGACCUACCGGCGGACGGGUGAGUAUGUAGGAAUCUGCCUAUAGUGGUGGACAACAUUCCGCAAGGAAUGCUCAUACCGAUACGCCCUACGGGGGAAAGCAGGGGAUCUUCGGACCUUGCGCUAAUAGAUGAGCCUAAGUCAGAUUAGCUAGUUGGUGGGGUAAGGCCUACCAAGGCGACGAUCUGUAGCGGGUCUGAGAGGAUGAUCCGCCACACUGGGACUGAGACACGGCCCAGACUCCUACCGGAGGCAGCAGUGGGGGAAUAUUGGACAAUGGGCGAAAGCCCUGAUUCAGUCAUGCUUUGGUGUGAAGAAGGCCUUUUGGUUGGAGGCACUUUUAUCCGAGGAGGAGGCUCUGAGAUAAUCUCUAGAAAGAGACGUUCUCGCAAAUACACCCGCUACUCUGGCCACAGCCCGGAAUCAGACGGGCAGCGUAUCGAUUACUGGCGUAAGCGGCUAGCGGUUUUAGCCGAUGGGACCC
RNAcentral lists this ribosomal RNA (500 nucleotides) under uncultured bacterium. Its description in RNAcentral is "bacterial SSU rRNA". It matches the Rfam family "Bacterial small subunit ribosomal RNA", at positions 68 to 541 of the family's 1533-position model. The record is from RNAcentral.